AUGGAGCCGGAGGUCGCGGAGGCCGCCCGUGGCGAGGCUGCAUUCUCAAUACGCGCGCUCCACCACAUCGCCCUCGCGGCCGGCGCUAGCGCCAGCAGCAAAAACAUUGCCGUGUCCCCGGUCUCCAUCCACGCCGCGGUGAUGCUCCUUGGUACGGCUGCCCGCGGCGCCACGCUCGACGAGAUCGUCGCCUUCCUCGGCCCCGCCGGCGGCCGCGCCCACGCACUGCUCGCGUCGGAUGUCGCCCUACGCGUGCUCGCCCACAGCGCCGGCGAUCACGGCGGGCCGAAGGUGCGGUUCGCCAACAGUGUCUGGGUCGACGCCGCGUCAGCACGCCUCAAGGCCGACUACGCCGGCGUUGUCGCCGACCAGUUCCGCGCCCAAGCGUACGCAGCGUCCUUCACAACAAAGCCGGAGGAAGCGAGGCGGGACAUCAACCGGUGGGUCCAGGCUGCGACGGCAGGGCGGAUCAAGGGCUUCCUGCCACAGGGCUCCGUCGGCGCCGGCACGCGGGUCAUCCUCGCGAACGCGCUCUACUUCAAGGGCGUCUGGGAGAGCAAGUUCGACGCCCGGCUCACGCAGCAACACAGAUUCUACCUGCUCAACGGCGGCCAUGUCCGCGUGCCGUUCAUGUCGAGUGGCGAGAGCCAGCACAUCGCCUGCUGCCCCGAGUGGAAGGUCCUGAAACUUCAUUACGCGCCCGGCCGCCGCGGUGUCGAGCACCUGCGGCGGCACUUCGCCAUGUACGUCUACCUCCCGAACGAGCUCCACGGCCUGCCGAGCAUGGUGCGGAAGCUGGCCUCCAGCCCGGAGCUGCUCGAGGCGGGCUCCAUGGACCUGAGAGACAUGGUCCCCGUGCGCGACUUCCGGCUGCCAAAGUUCACCGUGUCGUACAAGACGGAGGCGACGGGGCUGCUGCAGGGCCUCGGGCUGCGCCUGCCGUUCGACGACGACGCCGCCGACUUCUCGGAGAUGCUGGAGGACUCCAAGGGGUCCCUCGUCGUGUCCAACGUCUACCACCAGUCCCUGGUGGAGGUGAACGAGGAAGGGACCGAAGCGGCCGCGACGACCGCGGUAACCAGUAUGACUUUUACCUGUCCCGCGGUGAUGAGCAGGCCGGUCAAAUACGUGGACUUCGUCGCCGACCACCCUUUCAUGUUCUUGACCAAGGAGGAGCUCACCGGCGUCGUGGUGUUCGCCGGUCUAGUUCUGGAUCCUUCGUCGUGA
This 1227-nucleotide ribosomal RNA is filed under the name Triticum aestivum (bread wheat). RNAcentral describes it as "partial small subunit ribosomal RNA". Lineage: Eukaryota; Viridiplantae; Streptophyta; Magnoliopsida; Poales; Poaceae. The record is from RNAcentral.